UGAGGAAUAUUGGUCAAUGGUCGAGAGACUGAACCAGCCAAGUCGCGUGAAGGAUGACUGCCCUAUGGGUUGUAAACUUCUUUUACAAGGGAAUAAAAUGAGAUACGUGUAUUUUAUUGCAUGUACCUUGUGAAUAAGCAUCGGCUAACUCCGUGCCAGCAGCCGCGGUAAUACGGAGGAUGCGAGCGUUAUCCGGAUUUAUUGGGUUUAAAGGGUGCGUAGGUGGGCUGUUAAGUCAGCGGUGAAAGUUUGUCGCUUAACGAUAAAAUUGCCGUUGAAACUGGUAGUCUUGAGUAUAGAUGAAGUAGGCGGAAUGCGUGGUGUAGCGGUGAAAUGCAUAGAGAUCACGCAGAACUCCGAUUGCGAAGGCAGCUUACUAAGGUAUAACUGACACUGAAGCACGAAAGCGUGGGCAUCAAACAGG
This 424-nucleotide ribosomal RNA is filed under the name Fusobacteriota bacterium. Its description in RNAcentral is "Fusobacteria bacterium partial 16S ribosomal RNA". It matches the Rfam family "Bacterial small subunit ribosomal RNA", at positions 355 to 776 of the family's 1533-position model. Lineage: Bacteria; Fusobacteriati; Fusobacteriota. The record is from RNAcentral.